GAUUUGUGGAACUAAUCAUGCCUUUAUGCGUGCGCCCGGAAACAUAGGCCGACUGCUGAGCCCACUCUGGCUCAGCCGCACCACCCCGGGUGCGAGCCACCCGAGAAGCAAGCUAUUACAGCGAGCGGCUGGAGCUGUAGGGAGCCAAGGAGCAAGGCAGUAGAUAAGAUAGAAGAAGGGGCCAGGCUCCCGGUAGAGCAGAGGAGACGGUUAGGAUAACGAACUUGAAACGCGGAGCCCAAGCGGCCGGCGAGCGAGUGGUUAGUGGCCAAUAGCGCCCUAGUUGAUGGCAUUCCUCUCUGCGGCUGGCACUCGAGGAACCACGGGGCACUCCAUACAGAGCAAGCAAGUCUUAGGGAUGAGACGCCCGCGCAAGGACCUCAAUUCUCAUUAGGAGGUCGAACCAAGGACCUAUGGAAGUCGGGGCUACCCCGUCCCCAUGGGCAACGCAACAGUGUCCUGAGGGAGGAGUUUAGAGGCCUUAUAGUAGCACGGACUUUUUUUU
This 505-nucleotide unclassified non-coding RNA is filed under the name Hevea brasiliensis (rubber tree). Lineage: Eukaryota; Viridiplantae; Streptophyta; Magnoliopsida; Malpighiales; Euphorbiaceae. The record is from RNAcentral.